RNAcentral lists this ribosomal RNA (391 nucleotides) under uncultured bacterium. RNAcentral's name for it is "bacterial SSU rRNA". It matches the Rfam family "Bacterial small subunit ribosomal RNA", at positions 30 to 419 of the family's 1533-position model. The record is from RNAcentral.
AUUGAACGCUGGCGGCAUGCCUUACACAUGCAAGUCGAACGGCAGCACGGGAGCAAUCCUGGUGGCGAGUGGCGAACGGGUGAGUAAUAUAUCGGAACGUGCCCAGUCGUGGGGGGAUAACGUAGCGAAAGCUACGCUAAUACCGCAUACGAUCUAUGGAUGAAAGCGGGGGGAUCGCAAGACCUCGCGCGAUUGGAGCGGCCGAUAUCAGAUUAGGUUGUUGGUGGGGUAAAAGCUCACCAAGCCUGCGAUCUGUAGCUGGUCUGAGAGGACGACCAGCCACACUGGAACUGAGACACGGUCCAGACUCCUACGGGAGGCAGCAGUGGGGAAUUUUGGACAAUGGGCGCAAGCCUGAUCCAGCAAUGCCGCGUGCAGGAUGAAGGCCUUC